This 321-nucleotide unclassified non-coding RNA is filed under the name Hevea brasiliensis (rubber tree). Lineage: Eukaryota; Viridiplantae; Streptophyta; Magnoliopsida; Malpighiales; Euphorbiaceae. The record is from RNAcentral.
AGAUGGGUAACAAAAAAAUGGAAAGCCUGAUGAAGAAAAAAGGUGUGUAAAUGUUAAGCGCAAAGAGGCAUGGCUUAGAGAGAGAGGAGGGGAUAAGGAAGGUGGAAGCAAAACGUAGGGUAGCUAUUGAUCAAUGGAAUAUGUGGAUCCUUUAAUACUGUAGGUUUCCUUUCAUUAUCAAAAUGGAAGUCCCAACUACCAAGCACCACUUGAAGGCUCAGCACUUUUCUUCUUGAAUCUUUGAAGGCAAGACCAGGAUCUGAGAGAGUCGCUCUGCUUUCUUAAUCCUUGCUUUUGCAAAUCUUGACAUGGAUUCUCUUC